CCGACGCAGUUAGGUUUGUCAGCAGCAGUAGUGAAACUCUUUGGUUUGUAUGCUGUUGCUCUCUCGUUUUUGCAUGUUGUAGGAACCUACGUUUGUUAUAUCGCAAAAGAGUUGCUCUUCAUAUUAUCGGGGUGGUUUGAAGUGGCACGCCGAAGCAGCGGAACAGGAGUACCGACCGGUGUGAUUCCCUAAACUAAAGGUGUGAAUCCAACAUCGAGGAUGGAGCAAGCUCACACGAAGUCUGUGGCGGAGACGCUAUCGUAUUUUAGUGUCAAUGAAGAAACCGGCCUCACUCUGGAACAAGUGAAGGCGAACACAGAAAAAUAUGGACCUAAUGAAUUGCCAGCAGAAGAGGGUAAG
Molecule: long non-coding RNA, 360 nt
Organism: Priapulus caudatus
Lineage: Eukaryota; Metazoa; Priapulida; Priapulimorpha; Priapulimorphida; Priapulidae
Exons: 3
Source: RefSeq, a predicted model, not a curated record